CUUUUAGAGCGGGGAAGCUUCUAGUCUAAUAUUUAAUGACGACAUACAAUUACCUGACUGUUGUCCCUCAGUUUCGGGUAUUUGUAAACGUUCUAGAAUGCAGUCGUUAAACUGGAGCGCUUGUAUAUUUUGUUGCAACAAAACAUUUUAGAAAGAUAAAAAAUUACUCAAGUUUGAAUCCGAUGAGCGUAUUAAAAUGUUUUAUCCGUGUCAGAUAAAGUUAAAGUUGAAAUAGUUUCCCGUCCAUCUUUUAAACUUCAAUCACUCUGUCAUUUUGGUUGCAUUACAAAUUAUUUGCUAAAAACGUAAAAAAAAAAUUCAAACCCGUGCAAGCAGAUAUCUCAAAACACGAUACUGCUUUUAGUAAUUUUAUUUUGGCUAUUGACAAUGAUUUAAUGGUCAUUCUUCAUGACACCGUUACUCGAUAAAUAUAAAUCAUUUCUUCCGGC
This 449-nucleotide long non-coding RNA is filed under the name Mytilus galloprovincialis (Mediterranean mussel). The record is from RNAcentral. Lineage: Eukaryota; Metazoa; Mollusca; Bivalvia; Mytilida; Mytilidae.